This 424-nucleotide ribosomal RNA is filed under the name uncultured prokaryote. Its description in RNAcentral is "bacterial SSU rRNA". It matches the Rfam family "Bacterial small subunit ribosomal RNA", at positions 355 to 796 of the family's 1533-position model. The record is from RNAcentral.
UGGGGAAUCAUAGACAAUGGGGGCAACCCUGAUCUUGCCAUGCCGCGUGAGCGAUGAAGGCCUUAGGGUUGUAAAGCUCUUUCGCCAGGGAAGAUAAUGACGGUACCUGGUAAAGAAACCCCGGCUAACUCCGUGCCAGCAGCCGCGGUAAUACGGAGGGGGUUAGCGUUGUUCGGAAUUACUGGGCGUAAAGCGCACGUAGGCGGGCUGGAAAGUUGGGGGUGAAAUCCCGGGGCUCAACCCCGGAACUGCCUCCAAAACUAUCAGCCUGGAGUUCGAGAGAGGUGAGUGGAAUUCCGAGUGUAGAGGUGAAAUUCGUAGAUAUUCGGAGGAACACCAGUGGCGAAGGCGGCUCACUGGCUCGAGACUGACGCUGAGGUGCGAAAGUGUGGGGAGCAAACAGGAUUAGAUACCCCCGUAGUCC